Loxodonta africana (African savanna elephant) is the source of this 1041-nucleotide long non-coding RNA. RefSeq lists it as uncharacterized. NCBI's taxonomy places the organism in Eukaryota, Metazoa, Chordata, Mammalia, Proboscidea, Elephantidae. The transcript has 2 exons. The record is from RefSeq and is a predicted model, not a curated record.
ACAGGCCAGCGAUCUGCUUCUGAAAGGUCACAGCCUUGACAACCCCAUGAAUCACAGUUCUACUCUGCACACAUGGGGUCACCAUGAGUCGGAGUCAGCUUGGCGGCAACUAACAACAGGGAGAUUUCUGCCAGACUUAAUAAAGACAGAAGCGGAUCAAAACAAUGAAAAAAUGCCUCACUAGUGAGAGAAAAGGAGUCCCUGGGUAGCACAAAAAGUUAGUAACAUGCUGGACUGCUUACAGCAAGGCUGGAGGUUCGAAUCCACUCAGGCUCCUUGGAAGACUCUGGAAGAAGGGCCAGGUGAUGCACUUCUGAAAAAUGAGCUGCUGAAAACCCUAUGGAGCAGUUCUCCUCUGGCACACAGGGGUCACCAUGCAUCAGAAUCAACUUGAUGGCAUCUCAGGUGAGUGGGAGAAAUAACAAAUGGUUUAGCUCAGUGGUUCUCAACCCUGGGUAGCUUUUUUAAUGCUGAUGUCCCAGCCCCAGAGAUUCUGAUUUUACUGGCCUGGGUAGGACCUGAGCAUGGAUAUUUUAAAAAGCUGCAUAGGUGAUUCUAAGCAGCCGAGGCUGAGAACCGUUGGAUUGGACACCAUACUCUUUUUAAAAGACAUUUCAUUCUCAAGUUUAUUUCUAAUUAACUGGCAGACUUUUGACUUAAAUCACCAAAUAUUAAACUACCAUUUUAUUUUUCAAAUUGGUUAUGCAGCAGGUUUCAAGCAAAAAUGAAUAAACAUCCUGUGUAUGGACAGUGUUGUUAAGCCAGCUGACCAUUUAAAAUUGAAACAGGUAACUUUUAUAAAAACCUCAUCAUCGUAAUCGUGCUUCCUAAACCACAGAACAGUCCUGUCUUCAGCAAUGAUCUGACAAUGUGAACAAAUUUGAGAACAGAGCUAUUUUAAUCACUGAAAAAGCAAGCUCAGUAUGUUUCAAAUUCUUUAUUGUACAUCAUGGCUGCACAAUUUGAGGCUGGUUAAAUACAACUGAUUUUCAAAAUUUCUUUGAAUAUUUCUAGAUUACUACAUGCAAGUGACCAUGAAAA